Molecule: long non-coding RNA, 2055 nt
Organism: Lactuca sativa (garden lettuce)
Lineage: Eukaryota; Viridiplantae; Streptophyta; Magnoliopsida; Asterales; Asteraceae
Source: RefSeq, a predicted model, not a curated record
UCGAUUCUUGUUGAUGCCGAGAUAUCUGCAGAUAUUUGUGGUCACCUUCCCUCUUAUCAGUUUUAUGACUAAUAGACUCCACAAAUUAUAGUGAAUCAUGGAAGCACAUCCAUUUCCUUCCGGUUAAACCUUAGCUAUCGUCAACAACACCACCCCUCUCCUUAUUCUAUCCUCCCGUCGUGCGACCUGCACCAUUGCUCGACACAGUUCCUCUUAAUUCGAAAAAUCUGGCCUCCUUUUUCCCUUAUAUUCGUCGGCAUCUUCUUAUCUAUACACUGAAAGGGGGUACGAUUGAAGAUAAUUUAUUAGUCAUCACCAGCACUACCCUCUCUUCAAUCUCUCCACCCGCCAACGACCUUCACAUUGUUUUUAUUUCCUAUGAAAUCGCCUCUAUCUUCACCUCUGCACAUCUCGCCACCUGCGGAGCAAGAAAAUAAAAGGAUCAGAUUCCCUUUUCCCCACACCCACACGUAAUACCCUCGAUUACACCAGUCAAGUCCUUCGUUCCACGGCUCUUCGUUUUCCGCCCCAUUUUGAAGCAUCUUAUCUUCCCCUAGAUAGGAAACCCUAAAUCCCUUCUCACAACCUUCAAACUAUUCACAACUCUUUAACACUAACACUAGCCGUCACUCACCAACACCACAACAACCAUUUUUUAGCAACACCAUCCGGCAUCGUUUUCCUCCUUGCCACUGUCAUGACAUCAUAAGAUAUCUAUAGAAAGAAACUCCUACUGCAUCUUUUCCACCACCACGCACACCAUUCCCCAUCUAUAGACACAUGAAACUUUAGCCACGACACCUCUUCAAGAUAAGUUAACUAUGGGAGAAGAUCCAAAUCAGUUGAGGCUUUGGGGUUAGGGUGCUUGAUAGCUUUUGUUUUGUUAUUUUGUCUCAAAGUUUUGUUCUUUCGAUUUUACAAGAAAUGGUGACGAUCUGAAACCCUUCAACACCGAUUAUAUGAAUGGGUUUCAAAUUCCUUCCAAAAGGAACACUAAUCUUUCACACACACACACACACACACUACAUCGACAUUGCUAGAAGAUGCUUGACGUGUGCUUCUUCAAUUUCAUCGUGAACACGAAAGGUAAGUAUGAAUUUUUCCUAUAUUUUUUCUCUCUAUCAAACGAUGUCACAUGGUUUUAAUAUAAAAUCUAUUUCAUAUUUCUGGAGAUGGUGAACGGAUUUGAUCAAUUGAUAUUAGUUUCCUCAAUCUUCUGUUAACUACGCCUAUGCAACGACCAAAUUCGCAACCUGUGUCUCUUCUCAGCCUCUUGCUUCCCGAUCUACCACCAUCAAUACCACUCAGUGCCACCGUUAUCAUCGUCUGCUGGUAUCACCACUAAUCACCAUGACUCCAUCACACCUCUAGAUUCUUUACUAUUUUUUUCUAAAUGUGUAUCUUAAAGGUUUAUACUUGCUAAAUGUUGGUUCUACAAAAGAUCAUUAAUUUUAUGUAGAAAGUAAAUGGCCAGUUUUGGCAACUCCUAAGUAGCCCCUGAGGUAAGGCUGGGUCAAUUCCAUAUUCAAUUAUAGUUUAUUAAUUUUCCCUAAUUUCCUGGUUGUUGAUCUGCUUUAAUAUUUUGUAGAAUGUGUGUAACCCAAUUUGCAGGUUUUAACUGGAUCAAAUAGGGCAACCAAAGACGUAUAUGGGUUCAUUUCAUAUGGUUCUUUUUUUCAAUACAUGGAAAAGAAAGGAGUGUGGAAUAGAUAUGGUUGGUGGUGAUAAUGUGAAGUAUUCCAACUAUGUGUUAGUUGGACUAGAAUAUUGUAAAGGAUUACAACGGCUCAUAUUCAAUCUGGUUAUGAUUUAGAUUUUUAUUUACUCACAAACGAUGAUUAAACAACGGGCUUGGAGGGCUUUUGGAAGUGGUUGGAUCAGUAAGAGGUCAUUGCUAUAAAUGGUGGGACCCCCAAAGUAGGACAUUAUGCUUUUGUCUUUAAUUGGGUAAGGUAUAAAAACAUAAUGUCCUACUAAGAAAAUAGUUUGAAAGUAAAAUGUUGUAACUGGUAUUUAGUUUUUCAAAACUAAUUUAUAAAAUGAUCUUUUAAAUCA